Molecule: RNA transcript, 8595 nt
Organism: Betta splendens (Siamese fighting fish)
Lineage: Eukaryota; Metazoa; Chordata; Actinopteri; Anabantiformes; Osphronemidae
Gene name: insulin receptor substrate 1-B
Exons: 5
Source: RefSeq, a predicted model, not a curated record
CCCGGAGUACUAGUACGGCGGUGAGUGACAGUCCAGCUCCACGGUAGCUGCUCUCCACUCCACGCACACACGCGCAGAGCCGCGCAGGGCAGAGCCGCGGGACCGUCGGGCGGACGGAGAGGCGCACAGCGUGCAGCAGCGUGGCCCGCGCACCGGACCGGAUUCAAGCGCGCAGACGGCGGCGGUAGUAGUAGCAGCGGGGAACAGGGGGAGCUCCGCGCCGCGCUGCCACGCAUGUGCUCGCGUCGGAAACUUGCGCCGGCGACAAACACGCAGAAGAAAACGCGAGCUGAUCAAUAAACCCCGGCGCGGCUGUGACCCGAGACCCGCAGCGGCGGGGGCGCACGCCGACCCCUGCCUCCCGUCCCACAUGCCCGCGUCGAUGCGGGGGAGAGGGAGGGGACUGGACGCGGGGCACGCGUGAAUCGGCUCGCCGGACUUAGGUGCGACUGCGGGACCCCGAAGAAGUUGCGUUCGCCGCUCGGGGUCAUGGAGAGCCACGCGGGCGAGCCGCACUGCUGCGAGGACGUGCGCAAGAGCGGAUACCUCCGCAAGCACAAGUCCAUGCACCGGCGCUACUUCGUGCUCCGCGCCGCCUCGGAGCGCGGCCCGGCCCGCCUGGAGUACUACGAGAGCGAGAAGAAAUUCCGCGGCAAGGCCCCCGCGCCGAAGAAAGCGGUGGCGCUCGAGACGUGCUUCAACAUCAACAAGCGGGCCGACGCCAAGAACAAGCACAUGAUCGUGCUCUACACCCGCGCCGAGAGCUUCGCCGUCGCCGUGGAGAACGAGGCGGACCAGGAGGAGUGGUACCAGGCCAUGGUGGAGCUGCAGUGCAAAAGUAAGAACCCCAUCGACAGCGGAGCUGCAGGGGACUAUGGGCUGCCUAAUCCUGGUCCUGCGUUCAAAGAGGUGUGGCAGGUCAAGGUGUGGCCCAAAGGUCUAGGUCAGGCCAAGAACUUGGUGGGCAUCUAUCGUCUUUGCCUGACUGACAAGACUGUCAACUUUGUCAAGCUCAACUCAGAUGCAGCUGCUGUUGUGCUGCAGCUGAUGAAUGUCCGGCGCUGCGGCCAUUCAGAAAACUUCUUUUUUGUUGAGGUGGGACGUUCUGCUGUGACAGGCCCAGGCGAGUUCUGGAUGCAGGUGGAUGAUUCAGUGGUGGCCCAGAACAUGCAUGAAACUUUGCUAGAGGCCAUGAAGGCACUGAGCGAGGAGUUCCGCCAAAGAAGCAAAUCUCAGUCAAACUCCGGCCCUGGAGGAGGCGCCACUGCUUCUAACCCCAUCAGUGUCCCCUCGCGUCGUCACCAUACAAACCCUCCUCCGAGCCAGGUAGGCUUUACCCGUCGGCCACGAACGGAGCCACCUGGAGGAGCUAGCGUUGGAUCAGGGGGCAGUAGUGCCAAUGCUUCUCCCACCCCACGCCAUAGCUUCCCAAGGUCUCGCACCGCCAGUGAUGGGGCAAAGGCAGAUGACGCAAUAGCAGGGACUACGCUGCUCCAAGGACGUAGCUCCAGCCCCUCCACCAAUGGCUCCUGUUCCACUACCCCAAUUCUUAGUUCAAAGUCAGUCCGUUCAGUAUCCACCACGGCUACUAAAAAUCCUCUGGGAUUAAUGCGGUCUAUCUCUACGCCAACACCUUACACUGCUCCAAGCCUCUGCUCUAGCUCUGGGCAUGGCUCUGAAUUUGGAGGUGAUACAUCUUCUAGUAGUGCUGGCCCAGGGUCUGGUGCCUAUAGUCAUGUUCCUUCUCAUCGCUCCUCUGUCUCAGGCUCACCCAGUGAUUAUGGAUCCUCAGAUGAGUAUGGCUCUAGUCCUGGGGAUCACACACUCCCUUCCCCGAGCCUCCCUGGAAGCUCUGUUGAUAGUGUUGGCAGCCAGUCUCUUGGGGAGGAAGGAGCAAACUAUAUUCUGAUGGGCCAACGUGGUGGGGGUGGUGGUAGCAGCAGUAAUCAAGGGAGUUUAACAUCCGGCACCUUGCCUUCACCAUCAACACCACUCGGUGGCUCCCAGCCCCCUUCGAGGAGAGUGCUGCGACGCUCCUCCAGCCGUGAUUGUGAAGCUGAACGUAGGCUACUGAGCAAGCGAGCUUCAUUACCGCCUAUGACCCUGGAGAGGCUGGCACCACGACAGCGGAGAGCUGAGGAGACGGCAAACGAAGACUCUACUGAUUAUGCCAUCAUGUCAAGAAGCACAAGUCGUGAAUCUUUCCAUUCCACCUCCUCUUCCACACAGAGGGAAUCAGUAGCAGGUCCUGGGUCAGGAGGCGGAGGAGGAGGGUACUUGGAUGUAGCAGAGGAAUUCAAAGGUGAAGGGGGUAGUGUAGCUGUUGGCACUGUAAAUUUGGGUGUGGACAAUGGGUACAUGUCUAUGCUGCCUGGUGUCACUCAGCCUCCAGUGUCUCUAUCCCAGUCAUUGGCCGUCUCUGUUCCAGACUCAGAUUCUAAAACUGCUGAUGAUUACAUGGCCAUGACCCCCAACAGCAGUGUGUCUCCUCCUCAGCAGAUCCGACCACCGACGUCUGACGGCUACAUGAUAAUGUCUCCUAAUAGCAGCUGCUCUCCUGACCAACGUGGAGGGCUCUCUGGAGGGGCCUGGCUGGGCAGUGGCAGCGCAGACAGCAGGGCAGGCAGUGACUAUAUGAACAUGUCGCCAAUCAGUGCACGUUCUGUAAAUGGCAGCCCCCCACCUCCUGAGCACAGUGGGCAUUUGGAGACUAGUUCUCAACAACAAGCUCCCAAAAUGGUGUAUUCUUAUUAUUCCCUUCCAAGAUCCUACAAACAUAAUGCGUCUCCUGGACACUUUGACGAUGGGCCCAGACGAGGCAGAAGGCCCAAUGGGAGUAGCAAUAGAGGAGCGGGUGGCGUUCGGACUACUGGAGAUCAUCAGGAACAAGCAGCAGCAGGGAAUUCAGUCGGUGGAUGCCACCUGUCACUCUCCUCCUCCUCUUACUCCUCCAGUUCAGCCAGUAGUGAAAGCCUUGGGGACAGUGAAGACCGAGCUGCCCAGACUGGGGUCACUAUGCCUGGAGGAACACCAAAGUCCAAAGAUGGGAAUAAGCUCCAGCAGAAAAGGGUUUCUAGCAGUUUGUCCAAGCAGGGUAACCAUACUAGGAACAGACCAGUGAGCCUGUUUGUUGAUGUAUCGAAGGCUAACACCCUUCCUAGGGUCCGCGAGAACCCCCUGCCCCCAGAACCUAAGAGCCCUGGAGAAUACGUAAGCAUCGAGUUUAAAGGAGAGAAGAUCAAUCAGACUGGGGUUGGAGGAGCACGUGGCAGGGGUCUCUGGCAUGGCUUAUCACUGCCUCAUGGUUCAAGCAGUCACCAUCCUCAACACAGGCCAAUGUCUUGCUUAGGAAACUUUAAUCCUAUCUCCCGAAGCCCUUCUGCCCCCAUUACCCCCCCGGCUGCCUCAGAGUAUGUCAACAUGGAUCUUGGGCCCUCUCCGUCCCCGUCCCCUCUUUCCCUCACCCCGCUAAUAUUCCCCCCUUUUCACACACCCCCUACACCUCCAACUCUUGCUCAUGCCCCUAAAACCUGUAAUGAGGAUUGUACUAGUCCUCAUGAAGAGGCUGUGAAAGUAGCUGAAGCCCCCGUUAGAAAAAACAGAGAAAGUGUUCCUUCAGUGACAGAGUCUGAGUCCCCUACAUCCUGUGGUGACUACACAGAGAUGGCAUUCAGCUUGAAUAACAACACUGCCCCUAGGCCAACCUCUAAUGUGUCCCCCAAAACCCCUUCCCCCACAAGGACUGUUUCAGUUCUAUCACGGGGUCUCGAUUUCCCCCUUGUCAAACCAGGACUCAACCUAGACCAUGGAGCUAAAGUUAUCCGGGCUGACCCCCAAGGACGCAGAAGACAUUGCUCAGAAACCUUCCUUGUCUCACCUUCCCUCCCCACUUCUACAUCCACUUCCUCUUCUUCCACCGCUUCGCUCUUUCCUGAACACGCCCAGACUGUGGCCCGUCGGCUUGGCUUUGAAAACAUGCUGUGGGGAAAUGGUGCUGUGUCGGAUACCCCAACUCAGUUACCUCUUUCUGGACAGCAGUCCCUUCCCACAAGCACUUCAUCUACAGAACAGGGCCUUAACUACAUUGACUUGGACUUGGCUAACAAAGAGGGCCCUCAUUCGGGUCUGGAUGGGCCUUCAGGUAGCCAGGCUCCAUCUCGGCUCUUCUCCGUGCUGGGUGGAGGUUCUGGGGUCGGGGGAGUUGGAGCAGCAGUUAGCAGCAGUAGCAGCAGCAACAAUACCAACAGCAGCAGCAGCAGCUCCAACCUUAACACCUACGCCAGCAUUGACUUCUACAAAUCAGAAGAGCUCCGGACGCAUCAGAACGCAAACAAAGAGGGAACAGUCUUUGUCCUCAUUUGACAUCUAGGCGCAUGGAUUUUUGAAAUUCCUUCCCUCCCUACUGUUCACUACACGUGCUAUUGUUCAAAACAAAGGUUUUUGUCAAAACCUCCCUUGUUUUUAUGCCUUUUGUCUUCCGCCCCUAUUCACGUUGUCACACUACGUGUUUUAAAUAUUUGUCCACGCGCUGCAAACAGAUUUUAGUAGACACGCUGUGCAUCCGACAGCAAUCAGACACAAAGAGACGAGACCAAAUGCGAGAAGCAGGAACCCAGAGAUGCUGCAUGACAACUAAUCCGUGCGUUACUACAAACAAGUACAGCACAGAAGUGAUUCAUUGUCGUGUGUGUGUGGGGGGGGGGGUAAGCGUGUGCUUUUUUAAAGAAUUGUGAUCUGCUCUAAUUACAGGGACUUUUCCCCUGAACAGGCACCAGCCUGUAUAGGAAAAGACUGUAUGUCUGAGGGGCGCGUACUUCUGGCACCCGGAGCCAGAGGCUAAAAUUGAACAUCAGUAGCAGAACAUGUGCCAAAAACAAUCCUUUUGGACAGUGGUUAUGUAAUAUGUAGAAACGGGCCCCUCAGGAUUUAGGCAAUUAGGGAAAAGUAGCCAUUUCACUCUAAGUGAUGUGUGUUAGGAACAAAAUGAGAUGGAGCUGAAUGUGCCACAGCAUCGGCGAUGUGGCACACGUUCUACGGCUGUGUGUCUGUAUAUGGAAAGUGUGAGCGUGUGUUGAUGCGUCUGCGUUUUAUGGGCGUCAAGUUCAGCCAGAGUGUAAGACUGAGACUGUGUGUGUGUGUGUGUGUGUGUGUGUGUGUGUGUGUGUGUGUGUGUGUGUGUGUGUGUGUGUGUGUGUGUGUGUGUGUGUGUGUGUGUGUGUGUGUGUGUGUGUGUGUGUGUGCCCACACAAUGCACAUCUAUCGUGACCUUCAAAGAUACUAUUUUAAAAAACACUUAUGUUUUUUUUUUGUUACAGCACUUUGUGCUUUGUCAUCUGCCAUCAUGUGAGAUGUCGAUAUUAUCAUCCGUAAUGAUAAGAGGGCUCCAAAAAGUUUAGUAACAAACAAACUGUAUGAGGUCUGAGUUGAUCAUUAAGUCAUAAAGUGAUUAGUGAGUUCAUGAUGUUUCCUCUGCACCCGACACACAGCUUGUCCUGCGUGUGUGUGAUCCAGGCCAGCGGGGUCACAGCAGAAGCACUAGUAGUGUUAUGUAAAACACGAGCAUGUGGAGGAGAGAGAGAGGUGCAUGUGUGCACGUACGUGUGUGUGUGUGUGUGUGUGUGUGUGUGUGUGUGUGUGUGUGUGUGUGUGUGUGUGUGUGUGUGUGUGUGUGUGUGUGUGUGUGUGUGUGUGUGUGUGUGUGUGUGUGUGUGUGUGUGUGUGUGUGUACAUGCACGUGUGCGUGCGCAUGCACUGGGCUGUUUAUUUGUUGUGCUGGGCCCGUUGUUUGUUUAUUUCCCUGUUUGUUUGUGUUGCUGGAGGCCGUCCCGGCUCCGGUCUUGCCCGUACAGUGAGUCACACACUGAUCUGUGUAAAAGCCCACAGAUGUGUCCCAGGAGGCAGAACAUGUGCACGAAACCAGAGGUCGGGAUUAAACUUCCAAAAUCCUGCGCGUCGCCGUUCUUUAAAAGAGUGCUGAUGUCGGUUGGCGAGAAUGAGUGGAACGACUCGGCUUCAGAAGCCGCCUGUUCCUCCUGCGACACCGUCACAUCAAGAAGGCAGCUGGAUCAGACACACCCUCGAAGCACUUUGACAGAGACUGAUGGAAGACGCUUCAAUUUUUUCCCCUCGUCGCUUUUAUCUCGCCGGUUGUGGAGACCGACCGGGACGUGUGCCAAAUGACAUUCUUGAAAAAUCUAUUUGCUGCUCUCAUUCCUUGAGUGAAAGCCGCCAACCAUCGAAGGGUACAAAAAUGGAGAAUGGUGUUUUUCUUCUUCUUUUAUUUUUUUUUUAUGCAAGUCAGAAACUCAAAUCUUACAGAGCAACAUUAAUGACUGACUAUUUCGUGUAUGAAAAAUCCUGAAGAAAAUGUAUAGAAAUAUGUACUUGCUCAAAAAGUGCCUCGUUUAGUGAUUGUAGCCAUUUUACAGAACUUCAACUGAGGUUAAUGAUUAUUUUUUGUGCUUGAUUUGAUGUAUGUAGUUAAGAGUGCAGCAGAAUAUAUUCAAAGGUGGGUAGCACUGGUGUAAGCUUGUGUUGCGUUCAUGUCAUAUAGGAUUGAAAACAGUAAAAGGUAAGAUUUCAAACCUGUUGCAUCUGUUUAUUUGGGUAGGUCAUGUUUGCAUGAUUUGUGCAAAAGAUAAAAAGAAAAGGUGUAAUUUAGCACCUUUCCCUAGAUUAUAACAACAUUUUUAAAAGUCAUUAAUCCAGUAUGAUGUGAACGCUGCAUUUUUGCUAACGUAAAUAAUAAUGGUACUAGCAAUCUGCUGGGCUUCCUGUCUACUGUGAGAAACGUUACCUUAGCUGCUGUUAGCUUCCUGCUCCUCGUAGCUUGUGUUGCUUUAAGUCUUCUGAUUCUUUUUUUUUUUCAAUCUAAAUAUUCUAUUAAAGCCAUUCACCAAAAUUAUUAAACGGGCUUCAGAUACAAAAGAAGCAGUUGUAGCGCAGGGACACCUUAGCUCGCUAGCUAGGAUAGACAUAGCAAACGUGUCUCCGGCUGCAGACACCUGAUGUAAAGCCAGGCAAUCCCAUUAGGGCUAUUAGCUUCAGACACUUGUGUCUGACUUAAUCCUCUUCCUGUUAGGAUGCUAAGGGAUGGGAUAGAGAUCCUAUCAAUAGCCAUGCUAAUGCUAACCCUGUCGCCGUCAGCAUCCUGCUUUAAGCACCAGACGGGGGGUCGUCAUUUUUCUGUUUUGUAAGUAUAAAUCUAACAAAACAACUAAAUAAUAUCAAAAACUUUAUACAUUAAUCUACCAAACAUUUUAAAGAAAGUGGUUUUACAUUUUUUAAGAGCUUGAAAUGAAAGUUCUUUGACACUAAAUCCUUCCUUGCGACUCCUUCCCUCUUUUCCGUCUCCGGCUCUCACGUUAAUCUCUGCUAUGCAUCAGCACUUAAGUGCCUGUCUGUCCGUUUGGUCUUUGUGUCUCAGCAGCUAGCGCUAAUCUGACCGUCCUAGCAGAGUCUAUCGAGCCUGUUGUGUGUGUAUUUGGUCUGGUGUGGCCGUACAGUUCUCUUAAAACGACUUGUUUGUGUUUGUCCGUGAUAAUGAGACGUGCUGACACUUGACUGACAGCCGAAGCCCCAGUCGGAGGCGUCGGGGACUGUCUGGCCUAAUAAUGCAGGACUGAUGCAUCGCAGGGCCGUCGGUGCCAAACAAGAAAGACUGAGCUGUCCUCAAGUGUGACAGCAACACAAGAAGCAACUCUCACCUCUCAAGUCUGGACAUUUUGCGUUGUUUUUACAUUAGGUUGUUUCCUCUUGCAGCGACGGGACGAACCGUGACAUAUCUCAACUGGCAGGCUGCUCGUGAGGCUCCGCGAUAGAAGGUCGUUGUGAAGACGUGCGUAUGCUUUAACCUUGAAGCUGCCUGUGACUUUGACCAGUGGAUGAACACAAAUGCACGAAGAGAAAGAAAAGGCCACGGAAAAGCAACAACUGAAACCUGAAAAUGCGUCUUUGUAGCUGUGUGUUGUGAUCAUGUGUCUGUCUGCGGCUGCCGUGAGGCGUUCAGGAGCCUCUUCUCGCUCUGGGCCCGUGACCGACUGGGGCGGAACAAUGACGAGCAGACCGACACCUGCACUCGGACGCCAACGCGCGAAUCCGAGUCGUUUGCUUCGAAGCAGGGCCGCAGUCAAACCCAUGACACUCAGUUGAAAUGUUUCUGAUGUACUUUGGAAAAUGUUCUCGUAUCAAAACUUUUCAGCAACAUAUUGAAGUUUUCAGCCAAAGCAAAAGCUUGAAGGUACCUGUAUUUUAGAGAGGAGAGCGCGCACUGAUCUGCUUUCAGCGUGGUUAUCCUGCCAUUUAAAGGUCGUUCGCCUGCCUAAUGUAAACCACAGCCAAAUACCACGAAUCCUCCGUCAGUUUCAGUGGCUGAAUGACUUCAUUUUUUGCAUUGUUGAUGUAAAGGUGUUUCCUAAAAGGCGCAGGAAAGCGUUGCUGCUGUCCUAAUUGGUUGAAUUUCUUCCACUGGGAAGUCCAAAAUGAAAAUAUUGUCUCAUUUACCUUUGAUGUAGACAGUUUUACGUCUGUUGUGUAGGAUAUCAAACGUUGCAGCAGUAGACGACCUAUUUUGAUCAUUAAACAGUUAAAAGCAAA